ACUCAGGCACGAUUCGCCCGUAUUCCUAUGUUUUAUAGGAGAAGUAAGUAGUCUCGCUCAGUCCUAUUUAGAUAGGCAUUGUGGAGGGGCGGCGCGAAAGCGACCUGAAGUUCAAUCCUGAGGGA
This 125-nucleotide non-coding RNA is filed under the name Corynebacterium lactis RW2-5. RNAcentral describes it as "L31-Corynebacteriaceae ribosomal protein leader". It matches the Rfam family "L31-Corynebacteriaceae ribosomal protein leader". Lineage: Bacteria; Bacillati; Actinomycetota; Actinomycetes; Mycobacteriales; Corynebacteriaceae. The record is from RNAcentral.